Molecule: ribosomal RNA, 338 nt
Filed under: Candidatus Bathyarchaeota archaeon
Lineage: Archaea; Thermoproteati; Candidatus Bathyarchaeota
Description: bacterial SSU rRNA
Rfam family: Archaeal small subunit ribosomal RNA
Source: RNAcentral
GACUCCGGUUGAUCCUACCGGACCCGACUGCUAUCGGAAUGGGACUAAGCCAUGCGAGUUGUAUGUUCCUAGACUGCUAGGAGCAUAGCGAACGGCUCAGUAACACGUGGCCAACCUGCCCUCAAGUCGUGGAUAACCCCGGGAAACUGGGACUAAUCCACAAUAGGCCCAAACCUCUGGAAUGAGUUUGGGUUAAAAGGAAGGUAUGAGCAUGUUUCAUACCUUUGCUUGAGGAUGGGGCUACGGCCGAUCAGGCUGUUGGUGGGGUAACGGCCCACCAAACCUUUGACCGGUACGGGCUUUGAGAGAAGGAGCCCGGAGAUGGACACUGAGACAAG